Molecule: long non-coding RNA, 3318 nt
Organism: Anopheles stephensi (Asian malaria mosquito)
Lineage: Eukaryota; Metazoa; Arthropoda; Insecta; Diptera; Culicidae
Exons: 4
Source: RefSeq, a predicted model, not a curated record
CGGCACUGUUCACACGUGCAGUACGCGGGACCGGUGCCCAAGGUGUAUAGAGUGUGCGGUGAGCCUUUUUGUCGCUGUCGCUGUCAUCCGGCAUUGAACGAGUGCAUGUGUGUGUGUGGGUGCGUGUCGGAUUCCUGUGUGAACAAUGGGAGUCAAAACAAAACAGUUAACCACCAGCUCGCAAUGAAGCCGACGAAAGGAAUGGAAUCGAUGAAUGGGAAUCUGGUACUCUUGGCAUUCCUGGAAUUUAGCAAGGAAUUGUAGAGUUCCGGACCAGCACCGAGAAUCGAAUCCCACCUUGAUACCGUCUCCCCGUACGCAAGACCGGUAAUCCUUGCUAGGGUUAAAACAUAUAGUCACAGAAAGCCAGAAACGGCAGGACUAGACGGAUAGAGCAUGCAGAGCCUGGUAGCUGCAGACGAUAUCACAGAGAGCUCGUUGGUCAAAUCUGUAUCAGAGCUUCACCUAUUUUGGGGAGAAAAUUCAGUACCCACAUCUAUACGGAUGCUGCUGCUUCAAGGAAGCUUCAAGAAAUCCUUUGCAUCCUGAGAUACUGUAUCAAACCUGUUAGUUCGAUAACGAACCGUUGUUGAACCGACCACGCGAAGGAGUGAUCGAUUCGGAGAUCUCCGCGCAGAUUCCUGGCCUUGUCAGAGUUGCUUGAAUCAGGCGGCUGACCUUUUUUCCUGGAAAACCAGGAGAAGUUUUUAGCGGCGGACUCGCACUACACUAACUCGGCGUGGACAACGGGAAUGCCGUAGCUCGAUCAGACGAUUAGCCUUUUUUCCUGAAUAACCAGGAGAAGUUUCUAACCGUGGUUCUUGCUUGGCUUAAUUUCGCCUAAUUCUUCCGACGGAGUGGGGAGGCACCAAAGUGCGUAACCAAUUUCCGGAGGGAAGGCAAAGGUGAAACUUUCCCGCUUCUAUACCCAAACCCAAACAAACAAUGAAACACAAGUUUCUUCGUUGAGGUUUGGAUUACAAGUCGCUUUUAUUCUCAAAAAAUCCUGUCUUAUAUACUAAAAUUCCGUGGGAAAAAGAACAUGAAAUAGCAUUACAUCGAUCUCAUUUAUUCUAACUCGGUAUGCCGAUGCGUUUGAUCCCUGCCUGACGUCGGCUAGUGUAGGAGGUCUGUAACGUUACAAUAUCUGGCGAUUGUUACCCUAUCGUUUUAUGACCAUGGGUAACGCAUCGCGCAUCUGUGGUUCAAGUGCGUAUGUUUAUUUUCCUAUUGCCUAUUGCCUGCGCGUCGUUUACUCUAUUCGUCAAGUUGGUCUUUCCUUCACUGCCCUACGACCGUGCCUUGAUCUUCGCGCAGGUCGUUGUUUCGUGAAACUAAUCGCGCAACGAUAACGUAUGCGUUGGGUUCUAGCGUUAACCUUUUUCGGCCUAUGUUCUUCACUUUCGUAUUUAAUUACAUGGCCUGAGUUUACGAUUACCAUAUGUCGAGAUUUGUCCCUUUUUCGAGAUAUUUCCAAUAACGCAUCAUAAUCUUGUCGCUCUGUUAGUUUAGGGUUUUUUCCUAAAAUAAUAUUUGCCGGUGAUAGUUUAUCCUAAACAAAGACGUUUAUUAAUUUUCCAUCUAAUCCUCGCAUGCCGUUAAAUCUAGCUCAAUUCGUCGCGUUGGUAACAGAACCAAAAGUGCGCAACGUAACGCGACACAAGUUUUUUGCGCCAAGAACCUUAAGUUCUUGUCUCCAUGCGGAACGUUAAUGUAAGCUAAUUUUUAGACCAUGCUGUUCAACGAACAAACAAACCAAGACUUAUUCGAACUAACAAACAAUAACAAUAAGUCCAUCCAUCCAAACGAAAUUCGACACUUUUUUACGACAAAAGCUUUAUGCUCUUGUCGCCAACCAGAAAAAAAACUAUUAGGCAAUGUAACCAUACAGAUAGGAAAAGUUAUUUUAACGUGAGAGUUGGUUCUUGGCUAGACUUGAUGCAAAUCAAAACCUGACGUCCAAAUCCUUUCCAGAGCUUUGGGAGUCCCCCAACCCAAGGUAAGGUCUCAAAUCUCCGACGAGCCAGUAAGGGAUGUUCCCUCUGAAUAUCUAGAGUCGCCCGGCCGACUCAACGCCGAUGAGCUUCGAGUGUCCCCCUACCAAAGGUAAGGCCUCGAUAUCUCCAACAAUCCAGUAAGGAAGAUUCUCAUCUAGAACCUUCACGAUUGCCUCGACAGUCGAUAAAAGGAAGAUUUGGUUCGGAUAGCAAGUUGUCGUUUGUCACUCUCGUCGAAACCCAAAUGAACCACGUAAGUACGGCGCGACUCAAAUCGCAUAUGCGCAAAGCCCCGUCGACCGAUCCCGCAUAUUACAAUACACCUCUGAGAUUUGGACACUUUCCAGAAUUAUCCAAGAUCCUUCUUAGCAGCGUUCGAAAGCCGUCAAAGGAAGAGGUGGUACAAUGGCGGGCAUUAUGAGCUGCACGAUAAUCUCCUUAUCGUGCAACGAAUUAGAUUCGCUGGGCUCCAGUAGACUGGCCUUGGUUGAACCACCCCGUAAAGUCCUUCUAGGUCAUCCACAUACACAGAGAUCUUAUAGCAGGUUCAUGGUGAGAUGAAGCGAUGGCGUUGAUGUGUCCGCCAGCAAGACCAGGAUAUUGGAUCGACAGACGACUGGAAGCCAAGACUUCUAGGCGAUUAUAGGAUCUGAUAAUUAAGUUUGCGUGGGAGGAUAAUGUAUCAGCAUUCAAUCAAGAUGAGAACGGGACCGGGACGACUCUCCACGCAACGUUUCUGAAGGCCAUCUAAAGUUGGCGUACCAAAUUGAUGCGUUAGUGCGAUGCGAAUGAUAGUGUAUAAAUCUGCUGGUAAGGUCCGGGUAUUGGAUUGGCUGACGACGUUGAGCGUCAUCAAGGACUUCUACAGCAUGCCAACUCCGUGAAGCAAUAAGAAUGCGUGGAAGGACAAUCUUAGCGUGAUGAGAAUGGUACCGGACCAUCCAGCAUAGAAUGAAGGCAUUGGUGCAUUCACCAGAAUGGCUGGACGAAGGCCUGAACGUGACUGGCAACGGAGAUUCCUGGAAGCGGUUGUGUUGCCUUAUACGUAGGAUUGCGUAGAAGGACAAUGAAUGGCGUUCUUAUUGAGACGAGAAAGGAACGAUCCAGCCCACAACAGAGAAAAGAGAUCCCAUUUUGAGAUGGAAUGAAGGUGGUGGCUAUCCACCGGAAUCGUCCGGAUGUUGGAUUGGCAGAUGACGACGAAAUACAUUGAACGACAUCGAGAACUUUUAUAGUAAGCCAGGCUUCUAUAGUGAUACGAUUGUAGCGUCUGAUAAGUAGCCUUCUAUAAGAAAUCCAUCCUGGCCCUUAUCGCUUGUGA